AUUGAACGCUGGCGGCAUGCCUUACACAUGCAAGUCGAACGGCAGCACGGGAGCAAUCCUGGUGGCGAGUGGCGAACGGGUGAGUAAUGUAUCGGAACGUGCCCAGUCGUGGGGAUAACGUAGCGAAAGCUACGCUAAUACCGCAUACGAUCUACGGAUGAAAGCGGGGGAUCGCAAGACCUCGCGCGAUUGGAGCGGCCGAUAUCAGAUUAGGUAGUUGGUGAGGUAAAGGCUCACCAAGCCAACGAUCUGUAGCUGGUCUGAGAGGACGACCAGCCACACUGGAACUGAGACACGGUCCAGACUCCUACGGGAGGCAGCAGUGGGAAUUUUGGACAAUGGGCGAAAGCCUGAUCCAGCAAUGCCGCGUGAGUGAUGAAGGCC
This 384-nucleotide ribosomal RNA is filed under the name uncultured bacterium. RNAcentral's name for it is "bacterial SSU rRNA". It matches the Rfam family "Bacterial small subunit ribosomal RNA", at positions 30 to 416 of the family's 1533-position model. The record is from RNAcentral.